This 76-nucleotide transfer RNA is filed under the name Actinomycetes bacterium. RNAcentral describes it as "Actinobacteria bacterium tRNA-Thr". It matches the Rfam family "tRNA". Rfam says of the family: Transfer RNA (tRNA) molecules are approximately 80 nucleotides in length. Their secondary structure includes four short double-helical elements and three loops (D, anti-codon, and T loops). The record is from RNAcentral. Lineage: Bacteria; Bacillati; Actinomycetota; Actinomycetes.
GCUGGCGUAGCUCAGUUGGCAGAGCAGCGGUCUUGUAAACCGCAGGUCGUGGGUUCAAAUCCCUCCGCCAGCUCAA